GCGGCCAGCAGGGCGGAGUUAACCAACUUUCACACUGACUGCUGGAGUCAACGACGGACAGAUAUGCGUUCAGCCGCACCAGCUGACCCUUUGUGAGGGUUAAAGUCAUUGUCUUUGAAUCUCCAGAAAGCGUUUAUAGCUCCUGGCGCAGCAACAAGAUGAUGCGCUUCCUGCUGCUCUUCAGUCGCCAGGGGAAGCUGCGUCUGCAGAAAUGGUUCACGCCCAUGUCAGAACGUGAGAAGAAGAAGAUCACCAGGGACAUGACCACGAUGGUGUUGGGACGGCAACCACGCUCCUGUAACUUCCUGCACUGGAAAGACCUGAAGAUUAUUUACAAGAGGUAUGCAAGCUUGUAUUUCUGCUUGGCCAUUGAGAACCAGGAGAAUGAGCUGAUAGCCUUGGAGGUUAUUCAUCGUUAUGUGGAGCUGCUGGACAAAUAUUUUGGCAAUGUGUGUGAGCUGGACAUAAUCUUUAACUUUGAGAAGGCCUAUUUUAUCCUGGAUGAGUUUCUAAUGGGCGGCGAAAUACAAGAAACCUCCAAACAAAUGGUGAACCGCUCCAUCGAAGCCUCGGACAUGUUGCAGGAGGAUGACAGCAGUGAGUGGUAUGAGGUGGAGCUGUUUGGAUGACCUUGAAUAUGGACAGAAAGGUUAGAUGUUCCGCUUGUGUUAGUUGGUGUGCUCAGAACUUAAUACCAGGACCAUGGAGGAGUAUAUGAGCAAACCUGCAUUUUAACCCUGCAGGGGGAAACGGCACAUAAAGGAACAGCGGGGAGGAAUACAGGAACCAAAUGUACUGUGUAUGAGUCAAAGAAGUUUCUGAAUAUGGAUAUGGACUUUCCUUUGAUUCUAUUGAACAUUUUCCCAAGAAGAAAGGGACAUAUUGAAUAUCUCGCCUUCUGCCUGAAGCUUUGCCCCAAUGUAACUGCAUUUUAGAGUGAGUCUAAUAUUUGCUCAGAGUCAUGCGCUCAACUGAAGGAAGGGGGAGGGUUGUUUUUUCACAUUGAUUAUUGUCAUGUAAAUGAAGUAGUAAUAGAGGAUCAGGGAUGUAAAAACUGAUUUUAGGUUUGUGAAUGUGUUGAGUUUAUAUUUAAAUCAUGUAUUAAUAUAUUUGAUGUGACACUACCAGUUGAUUUUGGAGGAAAAUGUGCUGAUCUUCAACUAUAUUUGGAAAAAAACAGUCUCAAAAACAACAGAUUUCAACAGACUGGACUGAUUGUGAUGAAUUUCUUACUGUUUUUAAUCUGUAUAUUUCACAUGUGUGGGUCCGUUAGUCUUUAGAAGGAGCAGUUGGUAGUGUGGGUGUCAAUAUCACUGUUUUUUUUAUCGUGCAAUUUGUGAUGUCGGAGCUUUCUGUAUGAUUAAAAUAUGUAUUUUGAUAAAAACA
Molecule: RNA transcript, 1386 nt
Organism: Epinephelus fuscoguttatus (brown-marbled grouper)
Lineage: Eukaryota; Metazoa; Chordata; Actinopteri; Perciformes; Serranidae
Gene: ap1s3b
Gene name: adaptor related protein complex 1 subunit sigma 3b
Exons: 6
Source: RefSeq, a predicted model, not a curated record